Molecule: ribosomal RNA, 253 nt
Filed under: uncultured bacterium
Lineage: Bacteria
Description: partial 16S ribosomal RNA
Rfam family: Bacterial small subunit ribosomal RNA
Source: RNAcentral
AACGUAGGUGGCAAGCGUUAUCCGGAUUUACUGGGCGUAAAGCGUGUGCAGGCGGGGGUACAAGUGGUGUAUGAAAUUUCCCAGCUUAACUGGGAAGGGUUAUGCCAGACUGUACUUCUGGAGUGCGAGAGAGGGGCGUGGAAUUCCGGGUGUAGUGGUGAAAUGCGUAGAGAUCCGGAGGAACCCCAGAGGCGAAGGCGGCGCCCUGGCUCGCAACUGACGCUCAGACACGACAGCAUGGGGAGCGAACGGG